Molecule: ribosomal RNA, 433 nt
Filed under: uncultured bacterium
Lineage: Bacteria
Description: partial 16S ribosomal RNA
Rfam family: Bacterial small subunit ribosomal RNA
Source: RNAcentral
AACGAACGCUGGCGGCAUGCCUAACACAUGCAAGUCGAACGAGACCUUCGGGUCUCGUGGCGCACGGGUGCGUAACGCGUGGGAACCUGCCCUUAGGUUCGGAAUAACUCCCCGAAAGGGGUGCUAAUACCGGAUAAUUUCUUCGGACCAAAGAUUUAUCGCCUUUGGAUGGGCCCGCGUUGGAUUAGCUAGUUGGUAGGGUAAAAGCCUACCAAGGCGACGAUCCAUAGCUGGUCUGAGAGGAUGAUCAGCCACACUGGGACUGAGACACGGCCCAGACUCCUACGGGAGGCAGCAGUGGGGAAUAUUGGACAAUGGGCGAAAGCCUGAUCCAGCAAUGCCGCGUGAGUGAUGAAGGCCUUAGGGUUGUAAAGCUCUUUUACCCGGGAUGAUAAUGACAGUACCGGGAGAAUAAGCUCCGGCUAACUCCGUG